RNAcentral lists this ribosomal RNA (345 nucleotides) under uncultured Lactobacillus sp. Its description in RNAcentral is "bacterial SSU rRNA". It matches the Rfam family "Bacterial small subunit ribosomal RNA", at positions 202 to 524 of the family's 1533-position model. Lineage: Bacteria; Bacillati; Bacillota; Bacilli; Lactobacillales; Lactobacillaceae. The record is from RNAcentral.
AAAAGAUGGGUUCUGCUAUCACUCUUGGGAUGGGACCUGCGGUGCAUUAGCUAGUUGGUAAGGUAACGGGCUUUACCAGGGGCAAUGAUGCAUAGCCCGAGUUGAGAGACUGAUCGGGCCACAUUGGGGACUGAGACACGGGCCCAAAACUCCUACGGGGAGGCAGCAGUAGGGAAUCUUCCACAAUGGACGCAAGUCUGAUGGAGCAACGCCGCGUGAGUGAAGAAGGGUUUCGGCUCGUAAAGCUCUGUUGGUAGUGAAGAAAGAUAGAGGUAGUAACUGGCCUUUAUUUGACGGUAAUUACUUAGAAGUCACGGCUAACUACGUGCCAGCAGCCGCGGUAAU